Molecule: ribosomal RNA, 497 nt
Filed under: uncultured bacterium
Lineage: Bacteria
Description: partial 16S ribosomal RNA
Rfam family: Bacterial small subunit ribosomal RNA
Source: RNAcentral
GAUGAACGCUGGCGGCGUGCCUAAUACAUGCAAGUCGAGCGAACGGACGAGAAGCUUGCUUCUCUGAUGUUAGCGGCGGACGGGUGAGUAACACGUGGAUAACCUACCUAUAAGACUGGGAUAACUUCGGGAAACCGGAGCUAAUACCGGAUGAUAUUUUGAACCGCAUGGUUCAAAAGUGAAAGACGGUCUUGCUGUCACUUAUAGAUGGAUCCGCGCUGCAUUAGCUAGUUGGUAAGGUAACGGCUUACCAAGGCAACGAUGCAUAGCCGACCUGAGAGGGUGAUCGGCCACACUGGAACUGAGACACGGUCCAGACUCCUACGGGAGGCAGCAGUAGGGAAUCUUCCGCAAAGGGCGAAAGCCUGACGGAGCAACGCCGCGUGAGUGAUGGAGGUCUUCGGAUCGUAAAACUCUGUUAUUAGGGAAGAACAUAUGUGUAAGUAACUGUGCACAUCUUGACGGUUCCUAAUCAGAAAGCCACGGCUAACUACGUG